Phyllostomus hastatus (greater spear-nosed bat) is the source of this 104-nucleotide small nuclear RNA. The record is from RefSeq and is a predicted model, not a curated record. Lineage: Eukaryota; Metazoa; Chordata; Mammalia; Chiroptera; Phyllostomidae.
GUGCUCACUUUGGCAGUAUAUAUACUAAAAUUGGAACAGUACAGAGAUUAGCAUGGCCUUUGUGCAAGGAUGACAUGCAAAUUUGUGAAGCAUUCCAUAUUAAA